UACAGUUAAGUGCUUAAAUGGAAUAAUAAA
Molecule: non-coding RNA, 30 nt
Filed under: Rattus norvegicus (Norway rat)
Lineage: Eukaryota; Metazoa; Chordata; Mammalia; Rodentia; Muridae
Source: RNAcentral